This 495-nucleotide ribosomal RNA is filed under the name uncultured bacterium. RNAcentral's name for it is "partial 16S ribosomal RNA". It matches the Rfam family "Bacterial small subunit ribosomal RNA", at positions 28 to 507 of the family's 1533-position model. The record is from RNAcentral.
GACGAACGCUGGCGGCGUGCCUAAUACAUGCAAGUAGAACGCUGAAGGAGGAGCUUGCUCUUCUGGAUGAGUUGCGAACGGGUGAGUAACGCGUAGGUAACCUGCCUGGUAGCGGGGGAUAACUAUUGGAAACGAUAGCUAAUACCGCAUAAGAGUAGAUGUUGCAUGACAUUUACUUAAAAGGUGCAAUUGCAUCACUACCAGAUGGACCUGCGUUGUAUUAGCUAGUUGGUAGGGUAAAGGCUUACCAAGGCGACGAUACAUAGCCGACCUGGGAGGGGGGACGGCCAAACUGGGAAUGAGAAAAGGCCCAGGAUCCUUAGGGAAGCAGCAGUAGGGGAACUUCGGCAAUGGGCGGAAGGCCGGACGAGCAAAGCCGCGGGGGUGAAGGAGGUUUUCGGAUCGUAAAGCUCUGUUGUUAGAGAAGAAAGAGUGUGGGAGUGAAAAAUUCACACUGUGACGGUAUCUUACCAGAAAGGGACGGCUAACUACGUG